GUGGAUGAACGGGGGAGCCUUAGGUGGAACAGCACAGGGUGGAACCCGGCAGAGGACAAUGGGAGCUGAUGGAGGCUAGGCCAGAGUGGGGCCUUCAGUGAUGCUUGAACCCCAGGCUUCAGACUCCAGAAGAGCCAAGGGCAGGUGGCCCGGCUGCAGAGCCUGUGGCAGGCAGGCCUCACUCACUAUACCCUUCUGUGUCCUUUGCCUGCAGAGACCUGUCUGGGCCGCAGAGAGGAGUCUGGAGGUAGGGUCCAAGGGCCACGAGCCAGUUUGGGCUGCUGGAGGGGGGCCUGGCAAGGAGGGCUCUCGGGGAAGCACCUGUGGGGGUCUGCUUCCUGACCCCAGGGAGCUAGAGGCCUCCCUCCCUCCAGGCCCCCCGAGCCAGGCUGAGCCAGCCGCUAGGGGCACGGAGCAGUGCCCACCUUGCGCCCAGUGUGGCCAGAGCUUCGGCCAGAAGGAGCUCAGUGCGCCGCACCAGCGCGUGCAUCGUGGCCCCCGGCCUUUCGCUGGUGCUCAGUGUCCCAAGAGCUUCACGCAGCGGACCACCCCCGCCAGCCACCGUCGGGCGCACGUGGCCGAGUGCACCUACACCCGCGCCCAAUGCGGCAAGACCUUCCUCCAGCAGUCGACGCUCACACCCACUACUGCGCGCACAUCAGGGAGAAGCCCUACGAGUGCGCCAAGCUCUUUGGCCGCCUGUCCACGCUGCUGGAGCACCGGCACAUGCACACGGGUUCCCAUGAUCAGUGGUGAAAUAUAGUGAUUUUCACCUGUGCUUCCAUUCUGAAGUUCUGGAAAGAAGUACUGGAUGGACUGAAGUCCAGGACAACGUCCCAAAGAAAGGCAGAGUCCAGGUAGGCUUGGAGGACCAAGCCCUGGAUGAGCACUGGAGGGCAGAGGCCUCAGUGUCCAGCACUGUGCCCUGCACAUGGAAAGCCCCUACGUUUGUGGAAUGAAUGAAUAAUAAAAAU
Molecule: long non-coding RNA, 974 nt
Filed under: Homo sapiens (human)
Lineage: Eukaryota; Metazoa; Chordata; Mammalia; Primates; Hominidae
Description: non-protein coding lnc-ZNF783-3:9
Source: RNAcentral